GCCUAUCUCUCUCCCUCUCUUUGUCUGCAUUCUCUUAGCUGAAUAUGGGUAAGAUGGUUGUUUGUGGGAGUCAACCCCAUUGUACUUCUGCACAGCACGUUUACUGCUGUUGGAAUACUUUCACACGCGACACACUAAGAAUUGCUGUCUCCAUUUCCCGUCUCAGGGUGCUGAGGCUGGGAGAAGGGGACCGGUUUGUGCGGGGUGCAGGAUGAGUGGCUGGGGUUUGAAGCAGUGUCCCCACCCCCAUGCGUGGGUUCUUGCCGUUGCCCCACGUUUCCCCUUGGCCUUACUUGAGAUUCCUGGAUCCCUGUGGAGGGGCCUAGGAAGGGCCCUGAUUGACUUUUGGCCCCAAACUGUGACUCUCUCCCAGCGGUGGCUCAGGGAACUUUAAUGAUUUAGGGCAGCGCUGCUUAGCCGGGGGCAAUUUUGUUUCUCAGGGGACAUUUGGCAGUGUCUAGAAACAUUUUUGGUUUUCACAAUUGGGGGUUGCUACUGGCAUCUAGUGGGUAGAGGCUGUUAAACACCCUGUAGCCCACAGGACAAGCCCCUCCUCCCCUGCAACAAGCAAUUAUCUGGCCCAGAAUGUCAACAGUGCCAAGGGUGAGAAGCUCUGGUUUAGGGGAGUGAACUCCAGGUGGCUCGGAGCCAUUGCCACAUAUUUCUUGCCUUCUUCUAAGCACUCGGUCCACGAUGUUCAGCAAGGAAUCACUGAGCACUUCCCAUACGCGUGGCACACUCCCAGCUAGGCUGCCUGCCUGCGUCAUCUCCUUACAUCCUCAAAGGCAUGAUAAGGGUUUUGCCUGUUCUUUGACCUUAGGGCAUUUCCCUUUGCCCUAUUUCCCACUGUGUCCUUUAAAGAAAAUCUCAAGAAUCAUAGAGAUAGCUUCUCAAUGAAAACCAACGGGAACAAAUCCGGCCUUUGUUCCAGGACAUCCUGCUCUUCCCGCUGGCUCUGAGGCUGCAGGUACAAAAACUGUCCCUGCUCAAUCCUCCCUCUCGGAGUGGGCUUUGGUUUUUGUGGGCAACUCCAUUGUUAAAAGCCAGCCCUACAAUGGGACGAGGACAGUUGACAGGUUUCUGUGCAAGUGUGUUUCCGAUCGCGCAAGGUAACAGCUUCAUUACUCGGUGAUGAGUGACCCAUAUUUCCUAACAUGAUUUCCCUGCUGUAACUCAAAUUGAGUUCAUGUUAUUCUAAUGAUAUCAGUUGACCUUGAGAAUUAGACCAAGAAGCCUGGGGUUAUUCUUCCAACUUCCACUGCAGAUUCUUGUGAUGUGUUUGGAAACACAAUCUACUCCUCAUCGCCCUGAAGUGGGCAGGGGGAAAAUAGAAAACAAAGAUCCCGACCUGCUCUGAUUUUUAGAAAAUACAUCUGGGCAAUUUCCGGCAAUGGGAGGCUCUUUCCCUCUCAGUUCUGCUCCCCCACCCCUGCCUCUUCCCCAAGAUCCUGGAUGUCUCCUGUCAGGAAGAGUCCUCCUCUAGGUCCUAUGGGAUCUCCUUGCUACAGUCUCCCCUUGUCCCACCACCUUGCUGGGUCAGGCUCCCAAAACAAGAGCAGACAGCACUUCUCUAGUUCCCUCAUUGGCUCCUCAUUACCUGCUGGUAAAGCCCAAACUCCUAAGCCUGGCAUUCAAGGCCCAUAAUUCAUGAUCAUCUUCAUCCUCAAAUACAGGAUCGGAGCUGAUGGAUCUUUCCUGCCAGCACAACCCCUGAAAGUGCGUGGCACAGAGGGACUGCACCCCUUGGUACACAUCACGUUUUUUUGUUUGUUCUUGAG
Molecule: long non-coding RNA, 1778 nt
Filed under: Macaca mulatta (Rhesus monkey)
Lineage: Eukaryota; Metazoa; Chordata; Mammalia; Primates; Cercopithecidae
Description: lncRNA (ENSMMUG00000050876.1)
Source: RNAcentral